GAUGAACGCUGGCGGCGUGCCUAAUACAUGCAAGUCGAGCGAACGGACGAGAAGCUUGCUUUUCUGAUGUUAGCGGCGGACGGGUGAGUAACACGUGGAUAACCUACCUAUAAGACUGGGAUAACUUCGGGAAACCGGAGCUAAUACCGGAUAAUAUUUUGAACCGCAUGGUUCAUUAGUGAAAGACGGUCUUGCUGUCACUUAUAGAUGGAUCCGCGCUGCAUUAGCUAGUUGGUAAGGUAACGGCUUACCAAGGCAACGAUGCAUAGCCGACCUGAGAGGGUGAUCGGCCACACUGGAACUGAGACACGGUCCAGACUCCUACGGGAGGCAGCAGUAGGGAAUCUUCCGCAAUGGGCGAAAGCCUGACGGAGCAACGCCGCGUGAGCGAUGAAGGUCUUCGGAUCGUAAAACUCUGUUAUUAGGGAAGAACAUAUGUGUAAGUAACUGUGCACAUCUUGACGGUACCUAAUCAGAAAGCCACGGCUAACUACGUG
This 497-nucleotide ribosomal RNA is filed under the name uncultured bacterium. RNAcentral's name for it is "partial 16S ribosomal RNA". It matches the Rfam family "Bacterial small subunit ribosomal RNA", at positions 28 to 507 of the family's 1533-position model. The record is from RNAcentral.